This 709-nucleotide small RNA is filed under the name Pan troglodytes (chimpanzee). RNAcentral describes it as "processed transcript". Lineage: Eukaryota; Metazoa; Chordata; Mammalia; Primates; Hominidae. The record is from RNAcentral.
GAUAUUAGACAUUGGAUAAUAAAAGUCCCUGUUAAUUCCUGGAAACCAGCUAAAGAUCUGGAAUUGUUGGAUAAAUAUUUAAUAGCCAAUGCAACUAAUCCAGAGAGUAAGGUCUUCUAUCUGAAAAUGAAGGGUGAUUACUUCCGGUACCUUGCUGAAGUUGCAUGUGGUGAUGAUCGAAAACAAACGAUAGAUAAUUCCCAAGGAGCUUACCAAGAGGCAUUUGAUAUAAGCAAGAAAGAGAUGCAACCCACACACCCAAUCCGCCUGGGGCUUGCUCUUAACUUUUCUGUAUUUUACUAUGAGAUUCUUAAUAACCCAGAGCUUGCCUGCACGCUGGCUAAAACGGCUUUUGAUGAGGCCAUUGCUGAACUUGAUACACUGAAUGAAGACUCAUACAAAGACAGCACCCUCAUCAUGCAGUUGCUUAGAGACAACCUAACACUUUGGACAUCAGACAGUGCAGGAGAAGAAUGUGAUGCGGCAGAAGGGGCUGAAAACUAAAUCCAUACAGGGUGUCAUCCUUCUUUCCUUCAAGAAACCUUUUUACACAUCUCCAUUCCUUAUUCCACUUGGAUUUCCUAUAGCAAAGAAACCCAUUCAUGUGUAUGGAAUCAACUGUUUAUAGUCUUUUCACACUGCAGCUUUGGGAAAACUUCAUUCCUUAAUUUGUGUUUGUCUUGGCCUUCCUGGUGUGCAGUACUGCUGU